RNAcentral lists this long non-coding RNA (452 nucleotides) under Setaria viridis. RNAcentral's name for it is "long non-coding RNA (SVIR_LNC000707)". The record is from RNAcentral. Lineage: Eukaryota; Viridiplantae; Streptophyta; Magnoliopsida; Poales; Poaceae.
CUGUUUUGGGGAUACAGAGAAUGAUUGAAUGGUGGGUUAUUUUGGGGAUACUAGGAAUGGUUAAAGAUGUUGUGUGGGAAAUUUUUGCAUGUGCUGGAAGUAAGAGUUUUAUGCUCUUGGAUUUCUAUGAUCAGAGGCACUCAAUCUAGUGAAAUUUCCCUCUAAGGGAUCCAUCUGAACAAAGAACUAUUUUUAUUGUAUGUUUUGUUUUGAGCUUGCUUCACUCUUUGUAUGCUAGGAACAAGGAGGAUGCAAUGUUUCUACAUGUUGGUUGAUUUCAAAUAGAAGAAUGCAUGAACCGCCCAUCCAAAUAGAACCCACCACGACCCAUCCAGCAGAACCCGCCACCACCCCAUGCCUCCCCACCGUGAUGCCGGCAGAGCUAGCGGUCAGAACUUCGGCAUCGACAAGGACGGUAAUGGCAAGGUGUCCUUCCCUUCCCCACUGCUUCC